GACNCUUCNGGGCAGGNUUUUUCCCGCUAGUCGAGCGGGGGAAGGUANCUUUGCUACUGGACCUAGCGGCGGACGGGUGAGUAUGCUUAGGAUCUGCCUCUUAGUGGGGGACAACAUCUCGAAAGGGAUGCUAAUACCGCAUACGUCCUACGGGAGAAAGCAGGGGAUCUUCGGACCUUGCGCUAAUAGAUGGAGCCUAAGUCGGAUUAGCUAGUUGGGUGGGGUAAAGGCCUACCAAGGCGACGAUCUGUAGCGGGUCUNGAGAGGAUGAUCCGCCACACUGGGACUGAGACACGGCCCANACUCCUACGGGAGGCAGCAGUGGGGAAUAUUGGGACAAUGGGGGGAACCCUGAUCCAGCCAUGCCGCGUGUGUGAAGAAGGCCUUAUGGUUGUAAAGCACUUUAAGCGAGGAGGAGGCUACUCUAGUUAAUACCUAGGGAUAGUGGACGUUACUCGCAGAAUAAGCACCGGCUAACUCUGUGCCAGCAGCCGCGGUAAUACAGAGGGUGCGAGCGUUAAUCGGAUUUACUGGGCGUAAAGCGUGCGUAGGCGGCUUAUUAAGUCGGAUGUGAAAUCCCCCGAGCUUAACUUGGGAAUUGCAUUCCGAUACUGGUGGAGCUAGAGUAUGGGGANAGGAUGGUANAAUUCCAGGUGUANCGGUGAAUUGCGUAAAGAUCUGGAGGAAUACCGAUGGGCGAAGGCAGCCNUCUGGCCUAAUACUGGACNCUGAGGUACNAAAGCNUGGGGACCAAACAGGAUUANANANCCNNGGUAGUCCAUGCCGAAAACNAUGUCUACUAACCNGUNGGGGCCUUUGAAGGCUUUAAUG
Molecule: ribosomal RNA, 831 nt
Filed under: Acinetobacter baumannii
Lineage: Bacteria; Pseudomonadati; Pseudomonadota; Gammaproteobacteria; Moraxellales; Moraxellaceae
Description: partial 16S ribosomal RNA
Rfam family: Bacterial small subunit ribosomal RNA
Source: RNAcentral